AACCUCCGCAAUGUGAGAAAUCGCGACGGGGGGAUCCCAAGUGCCAUUCGUUAACGGGAUGGCUUUUCAUUAGUGUAAAGAGCUUUUGGAAUAAGGGCUGGGCAAGACCGGUGCCAGCCGCCGCGGUAACACCGGCAGCUCUAGUGGUAGCAGUUUUUAUUGGGCCUAAAGCGUCCGUAGCCGGUUUAAUAAGUCUCUGGUGAAAUCCUGUAGCUUAACUGUGGGAAUUGCUGGAGAUACUAUUAGACUUGAGACCGGGAGAGGUUAGAGGUACUCCCAGGGUAGAGGUGAAAUUCUGUAAUCCUGGGAGGACCGCCUGUUGCGAAGGCGUCUAACUGGAACGGUUCUGACGGUGAGGGACGAAAGUUAGGGGCGCGAACCGGAUUAGAUACCCGGGUAGUCCUAACCGUAAACGAUGCGGACUUGGUGUUGGGGUGGCUUUGAGCUGCUCCAGUGCCGAAGGGAAGCUGUUAAGUCCGCCGCCUGGGAAGUACGGUCGCAAGACUGAAACUUAAGGAAUU
This 521-nucleotide ribosomal RNA is filed under the name uncultured bacterium. RNAcentral's name for it is "bacterial SSU rRNA". It matches the Rfam family "Archaeal small subunit ribosomal RNA", at positions 345 to 866 of the family's 1478-position model. The record is from RNAcentral.